CUUUGAGGGUCUCAAUUCGACUAAUGGGGUCAUUACUGAACUUUAGAGAAUGAAAAUAGAUAUAAUAACUCUUAAAUUAAUGAAGUGGAUGUAAUAGCCAAUUUUGGCCUAAAGCUCAAAUCAAUAAAACAAAUAAUAAAACAGUCCAAAAUGAAUGUCCAUUUACAUAUUAUACCCAAGCCCAACAAGCCCGAAAGUCUAGAAACCCCAAAGCCCAACUAGCCCAACUACACAAAACAUUUCAGCAAACCUUAACCCCUCCAAGCUUCAGCCGCCGCAUGCCCCCUUCAACCUUGGCCGCCGCACGCCUCCUCGCACACGUCUGGCCGCUCACGUCACCUGCAAAACGAGACUAACAUACAAGCAAAAGAAAACAACGAACAAGAAGACAAAAAACAAUAGCAAACAACAAAGAAAAACAAUGAAGAAACAGACAAAGAAUAGAAACAAAACGAGUGUGUAUUCGGCUAUAAAGGCCAUAUUCGAUCCCUUUGUAAUUUUUUACGUACAUUAAAGAAUCAAAAAAGCAGAAUAGAAGCUUAAAGAAAGGUUGAUUUUGAUUUUCUUUUCUUUUUUUUGUGUUUUCUUGUUUCUUCUUUUUAUUAUUAUUAUUAUUACAAAUCUAUUUUCAAGUAAAAAGAAUAAAUAAAAAAGGAGAAGAGAAAAUUUACCCGAAUCCGAUCUUGGCAUGGCUCCGACCACCGUCUACGGUGGAGCCUCGGAGCCAAGGCGGUUCGGCGAUGGUGCGAUGAUGGGUUUCAAAACCCUAGCAGAGGAGAAAAAAGAAAAAGGAGGUUCAGAUUUUUUUUUAAAAAGGGAC
This 820-nucleotide long non-coding RNA is filed under the name Gossypium barbadense (sea-island cotton). RNAcentral's name for it is "long non-coding RNA (GBAR_LNC000193)". Lineage: Eukaryota; Viridiplantae; Streptophyta; Magnoliopsida; Malvales; Malvaceae. The record is from RNAcentral.